CAGCCGCCGCGGUAAUACGAAGGGGGCUAGCGUUGUUCGGAUUAACUGGGCGUAAAGGGCGCGUAGGCGGGUUUUUAAGUCAGAGGUGAAAUCCCAAGGCUCAACCUUGGAACUGCCUUUGAUACUGGAAGUCUUGAGUCCGGGAGAGGUGAGUGGAACUGCGAGUGUAGAGGUGAAAUUCGUAGAUAUUCGCAAGAACACCAGUGGCGAAGGCGGCCAUCUGGGACAACACUGACGCUGAGGCACGAAAGCGUGGGGAGCAAACAGGAUUAGAUACCCGAGUAGUCCCUGUCUCUUAUAC
This 301-nucleotide ribosomal RNA is filed under the name uncultured bacterium. Its description in RNAcentral is "partial 16S ribosomal RNA". It matches the Rfam family "Bacterial small subunit ribosomal RNA", at positions 509 to 807 of the family's 1533-position model. The record is from RNAcentral.